Molecule: unclassified non-coding RNA, 328 nt
Filed under: soil metagenome
Description: partial contains 5.8S ribosomal RNA, internal transcribed spacer 2, and large subunit ribosomal RNA
Rfam family: 5.8S ribosomal RNA (bases 1-120)
Source: RNAcentral
GAUGAAGAACGCAGCGAAAUGCGAUAAGUAAUGUGAAUUGCAGAAUUCAGUGAAUCAUCGAGUCUUUGAACGCACAUUGCGCCCCCUGGUAUUCCGGGGGGCAUGCCUGUCCGAGCGUCAUUGCUGCCCUCAAGCACGGCUUGGUGUUGGGGCCUGCUGCACUGGCAGCCCUUAAAAUCAGUGGCGGCGCCAUCUGGCUCUAAGCGUAGUAAUUCUUCUCGCUAUGGAGUCCUGGUGGAUGCUUGCCAUCAACCCCCAAUUUUUCUAUGGUUGACCUCGGAUCAGGUAGGGAUACCCGCUGAACUUAAGCAUAUCAAUAAGCGGAGGA